CUCCCCACAGUGCUCCAGGCGUGGGAUGCUGCAGCAGCGCAGGGCCGAUGCCUGCGGGAGGUGGUGGCACGGACCUGACAAGCCCUUCGGUGCCAGAUAUUGUGGAAGACUGUACAGUGCAGACUGGCCCCAGCAGCACGGGCAGGGCUCCCCUCCAGAGGGCACCGGCUCCGGGAGGGUAAACCUUUAAAAACCAAGAACUUGAAUGCAACAGUCCUCAGGUGCGAGCCGUCCCGGGGAGGAGGAGCAGGCAGGAGGAUGCUCUCCUUCCGCCGCGGAGACGCCGCUGCGGGUCCCACACACCGUGCCGACUACAGCAAUAACUUCCAAUAACACGUAUGCAAAGCUGAAAAGCACAGUUAAAUAAAAAUAUUUUUGAACAAAACAAACCACAACAGACUCGACUGUCUCAACGCUUCUUCACAAAUCGGCUCCCCUGCGAUGGCUGCUGUUC
Calidris pugnax (ruff) is the source of this 454-nucleotide long non-coding RNA. RefSeq lists it as uncharacterized. The transcript has 3 exons. Lineage: Eukaryota; Metazoa; Chordata; Aves; Charadriiformes; Scolopacidae. The record is from RefSeq and is a predicted model, not a curated record.